CCUACGGGUGGCAGCAGUGGGGAAUAUUGCACAAUGGGGGAAACCCUGAUGCAGCAACGCAGCGUGAGUGAAGAAGUAUUUCGGUAUGUAAAGCUCUAUCAGCAGGGAAGAAGAAAGACGGUACCUGACUGAGAAGCACCGGCUAACUAAGUGACAGCAGCCGCGGUACUACGUAGGGGGCGAGCGUUAUCCGGAUUUACUGGGUGUAAAGGGAGCGUAGACGGCUGUGCAAGUCUGAAGUGAAAGCCCGUGGCUCAACCGUGGAACUGCUUUGGAAACUGUAUAGCUUGAGUACAGGAGAGGUAGGCGGAAUUCGUAGUGUAGCGGUGAAAUGCGUAGAUAUUAGGAGGAACACCAGUGGCGAAGGCGGCCUGCUGGACAGAAACUGACGUUGAUGCUCGAAAGCGUGGGGAGCAAACAGGAUUAGAUACCCGAGUAGUC
RNAcentral lists this ribosomal RNA (441 nucleotides) under uncultured bacterium. Its description in RNAcentral is "partial 16S ribosomal RNA". It matches the Rfam family "Bacterial small subunit ribosomal RNA", at positions 338 to 795 of the family's 1533-position model. The record is from RNAcentral.